CUCACCAGGCUAGGGCCUGUUUAAGGGUCUCCCUCUUCCCUUCACAACUCUCUUGCUCCUCCAUCUAUUUAGAAUGGGACCAGGCAUUAGAGACCACAAUGUUGUACCCACAAAAAUGUCAUACUGAGGGCCAGAAGCAGGAAGAUUGAAAUUAGUUUCCAGUUUCUUCUUCUCAAGUUGGACCCUAACCCACAUCUAGACAGACACUGCUUCUCUUCUCCUUGGUCUUAACUCUUUUUGAAUUUCCUUAAUGGAUUUCAAAUUGUGCUUCAAGAAAAAGAAUUCUGAGGCUGUGAAUGAAAUAGCCCUAAUAAUUCAUGAUGCUAGGGAUUUGAACAGGAAUCCAAAGGGAAGACGUUUUCACCAUACGAAAGUCUAGAUUUUUAACUUUUGCUUUCCUGCCUAGACUUCAAAAUGACCUCUCGACUCUGAUAAAUGUGGGCAAGAAUGUAGUAGAACCAAUUGUCAGUAGCAUUGUCUACCAAAGGUUUGGGACAGAGGUUUCAAAGUCAAAUGUCUUCAGGGUCCAGGGCUUUGCCACCUGCAUAACAUCUGGUUUGAACUAGGAGUUCUAUGCCCUAGCCCCACUCUCAUCAACUCUCCCACAAAAUUAUCCUUUGAACAAGAGCUUGCCACCCCAUCACAACCAGCAGAGCGGAAGUCCACUGUACAAAGACACCCAGUAAAAGACAAAGACCUCUGAGUGGACAGCACUGGCUACCAGUUAAUGGGCUUCUUAGGAAAAGGAAGUAAAGACUGAUGUUACCUAUCCAAAUAGGCCAUAGGGACCUCCACAAAUGAUACAAAUGAAAUACAAUUCCCUUUGCCUUUCAAACACAAGUCCAGCAUUUUCAAAGCCCAUUUCUACUGGCACGUUAUAGGACCCCACAAAGAGAGCUUCUACCUCAAGAAGUCUGAUGUCUGCAUAGGGGAGACAUGCAUACCAAUAAAAAGCUCUGGGCAGAACCUGUUAUAAAGAUAUAAAAUGUGCCCAAGAGCAUGAAGAAAGCAUCAUUCUCACCUUCACAGUGUAGUAGUCCAAGUGGUCUACUAGGGAGACAAAUAUUUCUGCACGAGUGAUAGUCCCCACCAGACUCUAAACAGCUUUGUGGCAUUGCCCUUCAUACUUUCUCUCAGAAAAGAGAAAUAAAAGGCUUCCCAG
RNAcentral lists this long non-coding RNA (1162 nucleotides) under Heterocephalus glaber (naked mole-rat). RNAcentral's name for it is "lncRNA (ENSHGLG00000043799.1)". Lineage: Eukaryota; Metazoa; Chordata; Mammalia; Rodentia; Bathyergidae. The record is from RNAcentral.